CAUCAUUUUACUGUUGGGAAAGUGGAGACAAUGAAUGUGUCUCCCAACUGUGAAUAGCCCCCUCCUGUUCCUUUCCUUUCAGGAUGGAACCCAGCUUUGUCCUUGUGGUUGAAGAGCCCUGAUGGGUGGACAGUUAUCUGUAGCCAGGGAACUCACCGCCCUUCUCAUGCAGAAUAAUAAGCAGAAGAGCAAACCACCACCCUAGGUAGCACCUUGCAUUCUGCAGUCUCUUGAUAAGCACCCUCACCCUCAGAUGAAUCAAGGUGUUUAAUGCCCAUUUGUGUUUCUUCCCCUAAGAAGCAUCUCUUCUG
This is a long non-coding RNA of Heterocephalus glaber (naked mole-rat), 311 nucleotides long. NCBI's taxonomy places the organism in Eukaryota, Metazoa, Chordata, Mammalia, Rodentia, Bathyergidae. The record is from Ensembl.